RNAcentral lists this ribosomal RNA (673 nucleotides) under Vibrio tapetis. RNAcentral's name for it is "bacterial SSU rRNA". It matches the Rfam family "Bacterial small subunit ribosomal RNA", at positions 446 to 1111 of the family's 1533-position model. Lineage: Bacteria; Pseudomonadati; Pseudomonadota; Gammaproteobacteria; Vibrionales; Vibrionaceae. The record is from RNAcentral.
GGAAGGUUCAUACGUUAAUAGCGUAUGGAUUUGACGUUAGCGACAGAAGAAGCACCGGCUAACUCCGUGCCAGCAGCCGCGGUAAUACGGAGGGUGCGAGCGUUAAUCGGAAUUACUGGGCGUAAAGCGCAUGCAGGUGGUUCGUUAAGUCAGAUGUGAAAGCCCGGGGCUCAACCUCGGAACUGCAUUUGAAACUGGCGGACUAGAGUACUGUAGAGGGGGGUAGAAUUUCAGGUGUAGCGGUGAAAUGCGUAGAGAUCUGAAGGAAUACCAGUGGCGAAGGCGGCCCCCUGGACAGAUACUGACACUCAGAUGCGAAAGCGUGGGGAGCAAACAGGAUUAGAUACCCUGGUAGUCCACGCCGUAAACGAUGUCUACUUGGAGGUUGUGGCCUUGAGCCGUGGCUUUCGGAGCUAACGCGUUAAGUAGACCGCCUGGGGAGUACGGUCGCAAGAUUAAAACUCAAAUGAAUUGACGGGGGCCCGCACAAGCGGUGGAGCAUGUGGUUUAAUUCGAUGCAACGCGAAGAACCUUACCUACUCUUGACAUCCAGAGAAGCCAGCGGAGACGCAGGUGUGCCUUCGGGAACUCUGAGACAGGUGCUGCAUGGCUGUCGUCAGCUCGUGUUGUGAAAUGUUGGGUUAAGUCCCGCAACGAGCGCAACCCUUAUCCU